GAUGAACGCUGGCGGCGUGCCUAAUACAUGCAAGUCGAGCGAACGGACGAGAAGCUUGCUUCUCUGAUGUUAGCGGCGGACGGGUGAGUAACACGUGGAUAACCUACCUAUAAGACUGGGAUAACUUCGGGAAACCGUAGCUAAUACCGGAUAAUAUUUUGAACCGCAUGGUUCAAAAGUGAAAGACGGUCUUGCUGUCACUUAUAGAUGGAUCCGCGCUGCAUUAGCUAGUUGGUAAGGUAACGGCUUACCAAGGCAACGAUACAUAGCCGACCUGAGAGGGUGACCGCCAACCCUGGAACUGACCCCCGGUCCAGCCUCCUCCGGGGGGCCCCGGUAGGGAUUCUCCCGCACGGGGCGAACGCCUAACGGAGCACGCCGGCGUGUGUGAGAAGGGUUUCCGUACCUUAAACCUCUUUUAUUAGGAAAAAACAUAUGUUAAAGUAACUGUCCACAUCUUGACGUUACCUAAUAAGAAAGCCCCGCCUACCUCCGUG
RNAcentral lists this ribosomal RNA (497 nucleotides) under uncultured bacterium. RNAcentral describes it as "partial 16S ribosomal RNA". It matches the Rfam family "Bacterial small subunit ribosomal RNA", at positions 28 to 507 of the family's 1533-position model. The record is from RNAcentral.